This 70-nucleotide transfer RNA is filed under the name Rattus norvegicus (Norway rat). It matches the Rfam family "tRNA". Rfam says of the family: Transfer RNA (tRNA) molecules are approximately 80 nucleotides in length. Their secondary structure includes four short double-helical elements and three loops (D, anti-codon, and T loops). The record is from Rfam by way of RNAcentral. Lineage: Eukaryota; Metazoa; Chordata; Mammalia; Rodentia; Muridae.
GGGGAUUUAGCUCAGUGGUAGAGCGCUUGCCUAGCAAGCACAAGGCCCUGGGUUCGGUCCCCAAUUCCGA